AGUGAACGCUGGCGGUAGGCCUAACACAUGCAAGUCGAACGGCAGCACAGUAAGAGCUUGCUCUUACGGGUGGCGAGUGGCGGACGGGUGAGGAAUACAUCGGAAUCUACUUUUUCGUGGGGGAUAACGUAGGGAAACUUACGCUAAUACCGCAUACGACCUACGGGUGAAAGCAGGGGAUCUUCGGACCUUGCGCGAUUGAAUGAGCCGAUGUCGGAUUAGCUAGUUGGCGGGGUAAAGGCCCACCAAGGCGACGAUCCGUAGCUGGUCUGAGAGGAUGAUCAGCCACACUGGAGCUGAGACACGGUCCAGACUCCUACGGGAGGCAGCAGUGGGGAAGAUUGGACAAUGGGCGCAAGCCUGAUCCAGCCAUACCGCGUGGGUGAAGAAGGCCUUCGGGUUGUAAAGCCCUUUUGUUGGGAAAGAAAAGCAGCAGGUUAAUACCCCGCUGUUCUGACGGUACCCAAAGAAUAAGCACCGGCUAACUUCGU
Molecule: ribosomal RNA, 491 nt
Filed under: uncultured bacterium
Lineage: Bacteria
Description: partial 16S ribosomal RNA
Rfam family: Bacterial small subunit ribosomal RNA
Source: RNAcentral